Molecule: long non-coding RNA, 1041 nt
Filed under: Solanum tuberosum (potato)
Lineage: Eukaryota; Viridiplantae; Streptophyta; Magnoliopsida; Solanales; Solanaceae
Description: long non-coding RNA (STUB_LNC000511)
Source: RNAcentral
UCCUGGUGCAAAUUGCACGAAGCUUCAAAUUGACAUGGUGAAAAUUAUGGCAUAUGCUCUCGCGCUCGUCAUGAUGAAUGUGGUCCUAUUGGCUCAAGAGUUUUAUGUUGUCUCUCCAUGUAGAUGAUGACAAAAUUCUCAAUCAAUGCAGAAAUCAAUAUGCGGCUCUUCGGCAAAGAUGCAGAGAAGUGAACUCAUGGAUGUUGUCGAAAGUCAAUUGGAUCGCUAAAUUUAAAAAUAUCAAUUUUGGUGAAUUCAUGAGAACUUUGAGUUUGAUUUUUGGAUAGGUUGUAGACUUAAGAGUCUAUUUUCUAUUGAAUCAAGUCGGUCUUCUAGCUCUCCUACACCAAGAUGCAAACGUUUUGGUGAGACUCCACAAUCUGCAAAACAAUAAUGACAGAAUUGAAGACCAACUUCAAAAAUUAAUUCUCGUCAAUCCAUGAAGAAUUUUACCUUGAUUUUUGGAUAUGUUGUAGACUUUGAUGUCUAGUUUCUGUAGAAACAAGUCGUUCGUCAUUCGGAUUCUCCUACACCACGAUAGAGACGAUUUGGUGGGACUGCAUAGAGCUAUAAAAAAAGAAGACAGAUUUGAUAGCAAACUUCAAAAAUCAAUUCCCAUCAAUUCAGAAGGAUUUUGAUUUUGAAUUUCGGAUAUGUCGUAGCCCUCUGAGUGUAGUUUCUGGAACAUCAAAUGGAUCAUGAUUUCGACGAUUCUACAACAAGUUAUGAAUUUUCCACCACGGGCGUGCUGUGCUGAAAAAAAAAAGUGACGAAAAUUGAGUUUGGUAUGCCUCAAGUUGACAAGAAUAUGUGUAUUUAUAGAAAUCAAAAGUACAUAAGUUGUGUUCCUACAAAUUAUGAAAAAAAAAAACCAUAUUUAAAACAAAAUUAUGGUAAAUUUUCCUAGGAACCGAAUUAUGGUAAGUUUCUAUAGGAAUCAAGUUAAGGAAAAUUCCAUUGGAAUCAAGUUAUGGAAAAUUUGCAUUGGAAUCAAAUAUGGAAAGUUUUGGAAGACUCCAAAAAAAAUAAAAAAAUAAUUAC